This 414-nucleotide ribosomal RNA is filed under the name uncultured bacterium. RNAcentral's name for it is "bacterial SSU rRNA". It matches the Rfam family "Bacterial small subunit ribosomal RNA", at positions 508 to 921 of the family's 1533-position model. The record is from RNAcentral.
GCAGCAGCCGCGGUAAUACGGAAGGGGCUAGCGUUGUUCGGAAUUACUGGGCGUAAAGCGCGCGUAGGCGGCUUGGCAAGUGAGGCGUGAAAGUCCUGGGCUCAACCCGGGGACGGCGCUUCAGACUGCCUAAGCUUGAGUCCGGAAGAGGGUGGUGGAAUUCCGAGUGUAGAGGUGAAAUUCGUAGAUAUUCGGAGGAACACCGGUGGCGAAGGCGGCCACCUGGUCCGGAACUGACGCUCAAGUGCGAAAGCGUGGGGAGCAAACAGGAUUAGAUACCCUGGUAGUCCACGCCGUAAACGAUGGGUGCUAGAUGUCGGGAGGCUUGCCUCUCGGUGUCGUAGCCAACGCGUUAAGCACCCCGCCUGGGGAGUACGGCCGCAAGGUUAAAACUUAAAGGAAUUGGCGGGGGAC